This is a non-coding RNA of Acyrthosiphon pisum (pea aphid), 75 nucleotides long. The record is from Rfam. Lineage: Eukaryota; Metazoa; Arthropoda; Insecta; Hemiptera; Aphididae.
UUGCUACGACCCGUAGAUCCGAACUUGUGUCGCAAAGUUUAGUAUCACAAGUUCGUUUCUAGAGGAUACAGCCAC